UCAAAUUGAUAUCUAAAUGCUGAAGUAUGUUUUUGGGACCAGUCCAUCUUGUUCUGUUGUCCAGAAAAUGGCACUUAGCUUCCUCCCUGCAGGGAGUAUUUCUACAGUUAACAAGAGAUAAAACAAGGGCUUUUUGAUCAAAGAAAUGGAAGGACCUGGAUAAACAAUUUGAAAAAGGAGCAGAAAAAAAAAGUCACAGGAUAAGGUCAUUUUCACUGCAUUUCAGUGUUCUGCUGAUUCUGGACUGAGGAUUAAUCUCUUUCUUCUAACUGGAUUAAUGCCACUGAGUCAAACCACUACAACUAUCCAGAAUAUGUCUCUGCAAAGAGAUGGAAAAAAGCAGGAUGUUCAAAAAUUGGACCACCACUAACCUCCACUGUUGUGGCUGAGAUAUAUACUCCAGAUGAUGCAUGAGCUGAGGAGAGAUACAAGUCAGACGCUACAUAGGGCAGACACAGUUUUAUGAUAAGGUAAGAAAAAAUUACUCCCCAGUAGUGUCACAGCAGAAUCAAUUGCAAGGCAAAUUGCUUCAAAUCUGGAAAAGUAUCACAGAAAUUAAAAGGAGAACUUUGGAGCUGCAAAAUGGAAAAGGGGAGAUUUACACAGAGAGGAUGUCCUUCUGAUAUGUGGGUGAGCUGGACUGGAGAGGGUUCUCCUCAGCAAGGCCAAGAGUUGUAUAGGGCAAUCUCAUUCAUACAUUUAAUAAGCUCUACAUUUAGACUACUGAGCUUUGUUGCAUGUAGCCUUUUUCUAGUAGAAAACUUUUUCAUUUACCUGAAGUAAUCUUAUACUCUGAAGACAGAACAAGUCCCUGGUACCACUUUCCAUUCCGUUUGCUGCUGUAAAGAAGAUUACAAGGCACGAUCUACUUCCCUGUUAUGAGAGGCUGAGCUUACUAAAAGCAUAAAGGGCAAGAAAGUGAAAUAUUUGAGUAUAUUCGUGACACAAGAACAACUUGAAGCUUGGAACUGAAAACAUGGUGGUCAUAUAUGUAUGUUUAAUUUAGAUAAACCAAUCCACUCAAAUAACAGCUGGUUAGGGUGGCCUCUCUGUGGAAAUUACAAAACCUAAUAGUACUAUACUAAAGUAACAAAAAGCAAACAAACAAAAAAAGCAACCCAGUGUUAUUGGUUUUAUUUAAAUUUGGAUUUUUUUUUGCAGAAGUUAUAAUUCUGUAAAUACAAAUUUCUACCUCCUUUCCUCUGGGUAAGUGAAAGCACAUUUGUACAUUGUAGAAUAAAAGGCUUAGGGAUUAAAUGAAAAGUAAAAUAGCUGUUUAAGAAAAAGUUUACAGUUCGUCAAAUAUAAGAGCCUCUAAAAAUACCUUAGCAAAAUAUUCUCAAUUAUUUCUGAAGGGCAAGUGACAGACAGUGUUAAAGAAAGAGCAUCCUGUCACAGAACUACAUUUCUGAGUGUUUCUCUGUUCUUUGUUGCAACGAAAAAAAUUUCAGUUCUGCAAAUUAAAAAUGAAUACAUUUAUAAAAAAAAGUUGAUAUAGUUUUCAGUUCAGUAGAAGAGAGAACCAAACAUAUAGGAUCAUAAAUAUGCAAAAUUUUAGUACAUUAAUUUUGACACAAGCAAUUAUAGUUGUUAUAAAAAUAGAGUACACUAGUGCUGAAAAUUCUUCUAAUGGGGUUGAAAUAGUUAUAGUUCACAACAGAAUCCCUGUUAAGAGCAAGCUAUUUUGAUAUUCUGUUGCUAACUCUUGUGUUAAGAAGACCUAAUAUCCUCUAAUUAAUAAUGUUUAUUACCACCCUAAGUUUUAUCACAGUGAACAAGCUAUGAUCAUAAUCAGAAUGGAUUCUGAUGCCUAAAGUGAUUUGCAAAGGAAUUAUACAUCCCACAAAGUGUAAAAUAUAAAUACCAAAAAAUUAUAAUUUUUUUAGAAUUCAGUCAAUGAAGUCAGAUUAAGAAUAAGUAUGUAAAGUAUGUUCUUUGCCAAACUCAGAGAAGAGCAGAGGUGUCUCUAAAAAGAAAAUAAAUUAUUAAAACAUGGAUUCAGAUUCACUUAGCUUCUGCACAGUGAUGCCUUAGAAUUUUUAGGAUUUUUAGCUUUUGUAGAUUUUCAUGUAGCUGGAGUUUUCCUUCACUUUAGACCCUUACUUUCUUACAGUUUGUGUGUCGCAUUCCCGGAGCUUUGGUCUAACUGUCUUCUUGCACUCCAUGGCCUGAAGGCCUUCAUAAAAAGAGCUGCUAUCUUAUCUAAUAUUGCCUGGAGAGUCUUUUUCUCCUGGACCUUUAGGCAACAACAGAGAAAUCUUUUGUACUCCCAUUGACAGAUCAACACAAGGGAGUGCUUAUUGAGGAUGAUUGUUCAUAUAAGUGACCGAGACCUUUUAGUGUUCAGUUUACAAAUUAUGUUAAAUAAAUUCUCUACAUAAAUAUUACCAUACCAUGACAAAUUAUUUUAUGGUGGACAUUUUCAGUCAAAGGAAGUCUGACCUUGACUUCCAAUGUAUAUGCAAAUGGAGGAAGGGAUGACGGGACACACUUGUCCAAGAUUUUAUUUUUCACCUUCAUCUGAUUGAGUGCUUACUAAUAUUUGGGCAUCUGAACUAUAGCUAAUAAUACCAUUUUCUCUUUUCAUUUCAGUGUGGGUGUUUUUCAGUUUUGAAUGUUUCAAAUGAUAACAGGAGGUUAAACUGGGGGUUUGAGUACCUAACUAUUGAUUCCUUCUGAUCAAAAUUUGAAUUUUUUCUCUCUCUUAACAACAAAAUUGUAUGCAACGUGGUUCUAAUCUGACGAUAGUAAUCAUUAGGUAUCAGAGUUAAAAAAAAGAAAACAAGAAAAAAUCCAAACCACAUAUUCUAUGUUUUCUUUUUCCCAGUCAUUCUCUGGAGAUUUUUUAUGUUUUAUUUCAUAUUAUCAUGUUAUGUCUUUAUGCAUCACUCACUAAAUACUUCCUCAGUUAAUUAUCCAUAGUACAACUUGGUCACAGAUGGCAUUGCUUCCAGUACAGCUCCUAUCAUAUAGAACAGUCUAUUUGUGCCUAUGUUCUUUUUUUUUUAGCUCAUAUAUCUCUUAGAAAGAAAAAAUCCAUUUUCUGAAACUGUUUAAUUUCUCUCUUCCUCAAUUCCUAUAUUAUUUAUUAUUCAGAUCUGUUACUGUAUUAUUUAAUAGUAUGAAGUGUCUUUAAAUAAAACUUUAAUGAA
Molecule: long non-coding RNA, 3152 nt
Organism: Pseudopipra pipra
Lineage: Eukaryota; Metazoa; Chordata; Aves; Passeriformes; Pipridae
Exons: 5
Source: RefSeq, a predicted model, not a curated record